Non-coding RNA from Camelina sativa (false flax), 529 nucleotides. The record is from RefSeq and is a predicted model, not a curated record. NCBI's taxonomy places the organism in Eukaryota, Viridiplantae, Streptophyta, Magnoliopsida, Brassicales, Brassicaceae.
GCAAUACCCACCUCAACCGGAGGUGGAGCAUGGAUUCCCGAAGGAAUGUUAUUGUGGUGCGAAGCCUUUUUUAACCAACUGCUACAACAGAAGGUUCUUCACAUGUCCAAAUGUCGAUGAUGGUGAGAUGCAUAUUCACAAGUGGUGGGAUGUGGCUGUAAUGGAGGAGUUGAGGGACAGUGAUAGACGAUAUGAAGUGAUGGCUGAGAAGGUAGAUUACUUAACCUUGUUCAAUGAUGAGAGUAACGCAACUGAACAGAAACUGGUAAGGUUGGAGAAUGUAGUUAAUGAGAUAUGUAAGGAAAAUAAGUUAAGAAAAUUUACUGAUUUGCUGGUUGUAGGUGUAAUCAUCAUUUUCACAUGUAUUUUGUUCAUGUUGGUGUAAUGAUUUACACGGGUACUUGUUGUUUUCUUAUCAUGUAUGUUGUUUUGUUUUGGUCUCUCACGGGUAUUACAUGUAUUUUGACUACGGACGUGUUGGUCUCUGUCACGGGUACUUGUUGUUGGUGUAAUCAUGUAUGUUCUUUUG